RNAcentral lists this ribosomal RNA (760 nucleotides) under Hydnellum peckii (bleeding tooth fungus). RNAcentral describes it as "eukaryotic LSU rRNA". The stretch from base 290 to 443 matches the Rfam family "5.8S ribosomal RNA". Lineage: Eukaryota; Fungi; Basidiomycota; Agaricomycetes; Thelephorales; Thelephoraceae. The record is from RNAcentral.
CUUCUUGGUCAUUUAGAGGAAGUAAAAGUCGUAACAAGGUUUCCGUAGGUGAACCUGCGGAAGGAUCAUUAAUGAAAUCGACGUUCGGGAAAGGUUGUUGCUGGCCCCAUGGCAUGUGCACGCCUUUACCGGAUGUAUUCGUCCUUUCUUUACACCUGUGCACGAUCUGUAGCUAGGGAUGAUCACGGAGCCUGUCGGUUCCGAAUGCCCUGGCUAUGAAUGUUUUUAUACCCUCUUAUAAAGUUUUUUUUGAACGUUUGUCCUGCGUGUAACAGCGCGAAUGAAAUACAACUUUCAGCAACGGAUCUCUUGGCUCUCGCAUCGAUGAAGAACGCAGCGAAAUGCGAUAAGUAAUGUGAAUUGCAGAAUUCAGUGAAUCAUCGAAUCUUUGAACGCACCUUGCGCUCCUUGGUAUUCCGAGGAGCAUGCCUGUUUGAGUGUCAUGAAAUUCUCAACUGCUUCGGCUUUGUUCGAAGUGAAGUUGGACGUGAAGCGCUUGCUGGCCUGUUCCGGCUCCUUCCAAAAGCAUAAAGCCUUUUCUCAGUAGAUCUUGGCAGAAAAAGUAUCUUUGACGUGAUAAUCAUCUACGUCGCAGAGAAAGCCUUGAGCAGAGCUCUUCUUCGUUCUUGUGAUGAGGAAGGCUCCUACGGGAUGGCUCACCUGGAGGGGGGUUAUCAUAUGAUCCCUUUCGUUUGACCAAUUCGACCUCAAAUCAGGCAGGACUACCCGCUGAACUUAAGCAUAUCAAUAAGCGGAGGAA